This is a non-coding RNA of Pelobates cultripes (western spadefoot toad), 285 nucleotides long. Lineage: Eukaryota; Metazoa; Chordata; Amphibia; Anura; Pelobatidae. The record is from the annotation of a GenBank genome assembly.
AUAAAAUAUUAUUUGUAUUAUAUGAUGGUGGUAUGUUAAUGUUACAAAAUUAUUAAUGAAGAAAAAAAAUUUAUUUUUGUUACUGGUCUGUUUCAUAAUUCUUUUUUAAAUUGGUAUAUUGUAAGAUAUCUAUGCAAAAAUGUUAUGUGACGCAUUUUUAUUUAAGAAUGUAAUGUGUAAUAAACCGUAGAAUGUGUUUGGCCUGGAAAUGAUUAAGCGCCUCUUGUUUGUCAUUUUGUUUUUAAUUAAGAAUGACAUGAAUGGUGGUCACAUUCAGGAUACCUG